GAAUUUGAGCCCAGCAUUUUGCCACUGUAUACCUACAGGACACAGGAUUGUUGGAGGAAAUCUUCAAUAAAAGCAAAACAGCUGUAAGAAAUUUGUUCAGAAAAAAAACCCUGUAAGUAUUGUGACAGAGAAGUGUAACGUAACAGACAGAUCGCCCUUGCUGAUUGCUAAGUAAAGGAGGAGGAUUGGGAAUAUACAAGUUAAAGACCUGGAACAUGCUCCCUAAACAGCAUUGUGAGUAUACCUACACAAAAUGGACUGCAGUGGUUCAAGAAGGCAGCUCACCUUCACAAGGGAAAUUAAGGACUGGCAAUAAGUGCUGGAUCGGCCAGCAAAACCCACAUUCUCUGAAUGAAUAAUCAUAAUAAAGUACAACAAAGGAAUGUCCCA
Rhincodon typus (whale shark) is the source of this 390-nucleotide long non-coding RNA. RefSeq lists it as uncharacterized. The transcript is spliced from 2 exons. NCBI's taxonomy places the organism in Eukaryota, Metazoa, Chordata, Chondrichthyes, Orectolobiformes, Rhincodontidae. The record is from RefSeq and is a predicted model, not a curated record.